UUUACAACAACUUGAUUCAUAAUUUGCUGAUUCCAUAAAUUUUUUGAAGUGUUUUUCAAAAAAGUUUUACUGCACUUUCAUUUGUUCUGAAAAACACUAGAGCAUUUGUGUUAUUCUCAUUGUAAUUGUCUUACAAAGGUUUGAGAGCAAGAAGUGUUAUGUUUCUUAUUGAGAGAUUAGUGAGUGAUAAUCUUAGAAGAAAUCUUGGUGUAAGAUUUGUAAGAUUGAUACUCAUUCACAGUGACAUCUCUUCUGAUUUACAAGAGGAGUGAAUGUAGCCUUCGGUAGAUUGAUGGUGAACCACGAUAUAUUUGAUUUUUGAUUUUUGCUUACUUUAAGUCUUCUGUUGCUAAUAUGAAUUUCAUCUAAAAGAAGAAGCAAAAAAUUGCACAAAUUACAGAAAACUAAUUCACCUCGGCUUAGUUUGACAUAUAUACUUACAAGUCCUAAGCCAGCCCGUGCCACACACCU
Molecule: non-coding RNA, 471 nt
Organism: Lupinus albus (white lupine)
Lineage: Eukaryota; Viridiplantae; Streptophyta; Magnoliopsida; Fabales; Fabaceae
Source: the annotation of a GenBank genome assembly